CUGAGAGCCUCCAUCUUACUGUUUGCAUCACCAAAGAGGAAGCAGCCUUCUUUCUCAGAGUUUGAAAAGACAUCACUGAAGGACUGUGAUGGACCCUUCUUGGUUAAGGAUCCAGGAUCACACAGCAGUAGGAAUCGUAUAGCUGGGAGAAGAGAGUCCAGGGUGUACAGAGGAAGGAAGAGGAAGCAGUUCCCAAAGAAGAUGAGAAAACUGAGGCACAAAUUGCUUAAGAAAAAUAGCUCAAAAAUGGCCAAUUCAAACCCAAGCAGUCGGUUCUACAUCACUCACAGUCCCAACAGUUGGCAGGUGAGAAGAUCAAGGCCCAGAGAAAAAGAGGAAAGUCCCCAUGUUCCUGUGCAUCAGGGUCUCCUCUCCACUCCCCGUAUCAGCGAUCUUUCUCACCCUGCCACUGCCUCCCGUGUCGUAACAGUUCAGAGGACACUGAAGGCUGGGAGGUGCCGGAAAAGCAGAGCUGGAAGGGCACAGAGAGAUCCCAUCUCCUGCCACUGUACAGACAGUGAGACUCGCCUUAGGUCACAGGACGAGUCAGUGUUGGAGACAGGACCAGAGCUCUCACCUCACCGUGUGAGCUGUGACCAGACUCUCCCAGCUGUGCUGCCUCCCUCACUCUUGAGGUCUCAGAGGUAG
RNAcentral lists this long non-coding RNA (648 nucleotides) under Camelus dromedarius (Arabian camel). RNAcentral's name for it is "lncRNA (ENSCDRG00005015371.1)". The record is from RNAcentral. Lineage: Eukaryota; Metazoa; Chordata; Mammalia; Artiodactyla; Camelidae.